RNAcentral lists this long non-coding RNA (921 nucleotides) under Bos indicus x Bos taurus (hybrid cattle). RNAcentral describes it as "lncRNA (ENSBIXG00000008000.1)". Lineage: Eukaryota; Metazoa; Chordata; Mammalia; Artiodactyla; Bovidae. The record is from RNAcentral.
GCCUGCAAUGCAGGAGACCUGAGUAUAAUCCCUGGGUUGGGAAGACCUGGAGAAGGGAAAGGCUACCCAAUCCAGUAUUCUGACCUGGAGAAUUCUAUGGACUGUAUAGUCCAUGGGGUGGCAGAGUCAGACAUGACUGAGCGACUUUCACUUUCAUAAGAUGAAAAGGAUAUAAACAUUAAUAUUAGAUCACUGCUGAGCUCACAUAUUUCCCCAGGUCAGGUUAUCCAAAGAACAUAACAAUCUAGUUUUAUCUGUAAGUAACUAUCAAAAGUACCUGUAGCCAGGGAGCUCAACAAGGUGCUCUAUGACAACCUAGAGGGGUGGGAUGUUGUGGGGGGGUGGAAGGGAGGUUCAAGAGGGAGGGGACAUAUGUAUACUUAUGGCUGAUUCAUGUUGUUGUGCGGCAGAAACCAACACCACAUUGUAAAGCAAUUGCCCUCCAAUUAAAAGAAAAAUUUUUUUUUUUUUAAGAAAAUUUUUAAGUUAGUUGUAACAUCCAGCAAAAUCCAUUAUCCACAAUAUGUCUUUUUACUUUGCUACAGCAGAACCAGCCUUUAGCCCUUCAACUCAACCAAUAUCUACCAGCCCCUGUCAUGUGGCAGGUGAAUCCAAGAACUUUGAGAAUCUCCAAGCAGUCAUAUACCAUCUAUCAUAUAUUUCCCCCAUAAAAUGCAUGCAUAAUGCCUUUAGGUUGAAGAAGUGAAAAGGAGACUGCAGGAAGAAACAAUUAAGAUUGCACACACACACACACAUUAAACCAAAAACAAACAAACAGUGGUCUCCAUUGUUUGACCUGAUGCCAGAAAUACUAGGCAUGGAAAGAACAAGAAGCAGUUACCAAGAAGAAUCCACAAAGCAAAGCUCUAAAGGGCAACUGACCAAGUGAAGCCUAAAUAGUUUUUCAGAAACUUCAGCUGA